ACUUAUCUCAUCAGGGUUUAUAGUUUUAGAUGAUUAGAAAUAGCUCCAGUGUCCAUAGGGGUCAACAGAAUAGCUAUGGUACAUCCGUCUAACAGAAUACUGUCCAGCAUCUGAUGAAGCUCUCUGAGGACAGAGCAAGCCCUUCAAGAGACAGCAGAGCACGGAAAUUAAGAACUGGGACUCAGGAGACCAGACCUGGCAGCUGCUGCACUGACACAGACCCCCUGAGACUGCAGCUGGCACAGGGACAGCAACAAUGACACUGAAGAUGUUUCAUUGUUUGACCCAGAAAAAGAGACAAUAGACCAAGAAAAUCCAAAAUCAGGCAUCCACUGGCAUCAUUUUUCCAUUUGUUCUAUCCAUUUCCAUUUGUUCUAUGGGUGCCAUUAUAGCCUAAGUUCUCUAUGAAUUGCUCAGCAGCGGCUUCAUUGCCUGUCUGAUGAGAAUUAUCUUGUUGCUGCUAUGUGAAUUUGGGGUAGUGAAGAAUGUCGCAGCUAGACUAAUGGUUGGCCUCCUGUGGUGGAAUCACAUGGAUGAGGAUGGAAAGAGUCAUUGAGUGUGUGAGUUCAGGAAGGCAACUCCUCUGGAGUAUAAAACUGUCUCAGAGGCUGAAUCAAGAGUGUCUUGUUUGGAACUGAUUGCCGGUCCAUCGCUGUGGUUGAUAUUUGCCCUUAGUGCUCUCUUCAGUGGUUGGCUGUGGUUAUGGUGGGUGUGGUGCUACAAAGUGCCAUUUUGUAACUGUAUGGUUACAAAAUGGUCAGCAGGAAGAACUUAACCAGCAUAGCUAUGUUGUACUCGAAAAGUGUCAUUGGAGAUGAUCAGAUUUCUUAAAUAGAGAGCAAGCUUAUGCAUUUUGUGACAUUGGGGAACAACCAAAGAGAUUCUUACUUACUUUAGAACUGUUUGGAAUCAGUCCAUUGCAAAGAGGAAUAUCAGUUUUAUUUUUUUCACUUAAAAACUUUGUUCAAGGGGCUGGGGCUAUAGCUCAGUGGUAGAGUGCCUGCCUCACAUGUGAGGCACUGGGUUCGAUCCUCAGCACCACAUAAAAAUAAAUAAAUAAAAAUAUUGUGUCC
RNAcentral lists this long non-coding RNA (1073 nucleotides) under Marmota monax (woodchuck). The record is from RNAcentral. Lineage: Eukaryota; Metazoa; Chordata; Mammalia; Rodentia; Sciuridae.